This 238-nucleotide ribosomal RNA is filed under the name uncultured bacterium. RNAcentral's name for it is "partial 16S ribosomal RNA". It matches the Rfam family "Bacterial small subunit ribosomal RNA", at positions 100 to 334 of the family's 1533-position model. The record is from RNAcentral.
CGGCACGGGUGAGUAACACGUAUCCAACCUGCCGUCUACUCUUGGCCAGCCCUCUGAAAGGAAGAUUAAUCCAGGAUGGCAUCAUGAGUUCACAUGUCCGCAUGAUUAAAGGUAUUUUCCGGUAGACGAUGGGGAUGCGUUCCAUUAGAUAGUAGGCGGGGUAACGGCCCACCUAGUCAACGAUGGAUAGGGGUUCUGAGAGGAAGGUCCCCCACAUUGGAACUGAGACACGGUCCAA